UAGGCGGGCGGCUUAGACAUGCAAGUCGAGCGGUAGCACAAGAGAGCUUGCUCCCCUGGUGACGAGCGGCGGACGGGUGAGUAAUGUCUGGGAAACUGCCUGAUGGAGGGGGAUAACUACUGGAAACGGUAGCUAAUACCGCAUAACGUCGCAAGACCAAAGAGGGGGACCUUCGGGCCUCUUGCCAUCAGAUGUGCCCAGAUGGGAUUAGCUAGUAGGUGGGGUAAUGGCUCACCUAGGCGACGAUCCCUAGCUGGUCUGAGAGGAUGACCAGCCACACUGGAACUGAGACACGGUCCAGACUCCUACGGGAGGCAGCAGUGGGGAAUAUUGCACAAUGGGCGCAAGCCUGAUGCAGCCAUGCCGCGUGUGUGAAGAAGGCCUUCGGGUUGUAAAGCACUUUCAGCGAGGAGGAAGGUGGUGAACUUAAUACGUUCAUCAAUUGACGUUACUCGCAGAAGAAGCACCGGCUAACUCCGUGCCAGCAGCCGCGGUAAUACGGAGGGUGCAAGCGUUAAUCGGAAUUACUGGGCGUAAAGCGCACGCAGGCGGUUUGUUAAGUCAGAUCUGAAAUCCCCGGGCUCAACCUGGGAACUGCAGUUGAAACUGGCAAGCUAGAGUCUCGUAGAGGGGGGUAGAAUUCCAGGUGUAGCGGUGAAAUGCGUAGAGAUCUGGAGGAAUACCGGUGGCGAAGGCGGCCCCCUGGACGAAGACUGACGCUCAGGUGCGAAAGCGUGGGGAGCAAACAGGAUUAGAUACCCUGGUAGUCCACGCUGUAAACGAUGUCGAUUUGGAGGUUGUGCCCUUGAGGCGUGGCUUCCGGAGCUAACGCGUUAAAUCGACCGCCUGGGGAGUACGGCCGCAAGGUUAAAACUCAAAUGAAUUGACGGGGGCCCGCACAAGCGGUGGAGCAUGUGGUUUAAUUCGAUGCAACGCGAAGAACCUUACCUACUCUUGACAUCCAGAGAACUUUCCAGAGAUGGAUAUGGUGCCUUCGGGAACUCUGAGACAGGUGCUGCAUGGCUGUCGUCAGCUCGUGUUGUGAAAUGUUGGGUUAAUUCCCGCAACGAGCGCAACCCUUAUCCUUUGUUGCCAGGGUUCGGCCGGGAACUCAAAGGAGACUGCCAGUGAUAAACUGGAGGAAGGUGGGGAUGACGUCAAGUCAUCAUGGCCCUUACGAGUAGGGCUACACACGUGCUACAAUGGCAUAUACAAAGAGAAGCGACCUCGCGAGAGCAAGCGGACCUCAUAAAGUAUGUCGUAGUCCGGAUUGGAGUCUGCAACUCGACUCCAUGAAGUCGGAAUCGCUAGUAAUCGUAGAUCAGAAUGCUACGGUGAAUACGUUCCCGGGCCUUGUACACACCGCCCGUCACACCAUGGGAGUGGGUUGCAAAAGAAGUAGGUAGCUUAACCCUCGGGAGGGCGCAUACCCAUUA
RNAcentral lists this ribosomal RNA (1436 nucleotides) under Serratia marcescens. RNAcentral describes it as "bacterial SSU rRNA". It matches the Rfam family "Bacterial small subunit ribosomal RNA". The record is from RNAcentral. Lineage: Bacteria; Pseudomonadati; Pseudomonadota; Gammaproteobacteria; Enterobacterales; Yersiniaceae.